GACGAACGCUGGCGGCGUGCUUAACACAUGCAAGUCGUACGGUAAGGCCCUUUCGGGGGUCCACGAGUGGCGAACGGGUGCGUAACACGUGAGUAACCUGCCCACAACUUUGGGAUAACGCUAGGAAACUGGUGCUAAUACUGGAUAUGUGCUCCUGCUGCAUGGUGGGGGUUGGAAAGCUCCGGGGGUUGUGGAUGGACUCGCGGCCUAUCAGCUUGUUGGUGGGGUAGUGGCCUACCAAGGCGGCGACGGGUAGCCGGACUGUGAGAGUGAGAGGCCACACUGGCACUGAGAGACGGCCCAGACUCCUACGAUAGGCAGCAGGGGGGAAGAUUGCACAAGGGGCGCAAGCCGGAUGCAGCAACGCCGCGUGCGGGAUGACGGCCUUCGUGUGGUAAACCGCUUUCAGCAGGGACGAAGCUUUUUGUGACGGUACCUGCAGAAGAAGCACCGGCUAACUACGUG
Molecule: ribosomal RNA, 465 nt
Filed under: uncultured bacterium
Lineage: Bacteria
Description: partial 16S ribosomal RNA
Rfam family: Bacterial small subunit ribosomal RNA
Source: RNAcentral